AGGGGCAUAGCUCAGGGGUAGAGCACAUGCUCAGCAUGCACGAGGUCCUGGGUUCAAAUCCCAGUAACUCCA
Molecule: transfer RNA, 72 nt
Filed under: Camelus bactrianus (Bactrian camel)
Lineage: Eukaryota; Metazoa; Chordata; Mammalia; Artiodactyla; Camelidae
Also listed under: 2 other names
Rfam family: tRNA
About the family: Transfer RNA (tRNA) molecules are approximately 80 nucleotides in length.
Source: Rfam by way of RNAcentral